GGGUUGUGAGGUUAAGCGACUAAGCGUACACGGUGGAUGCCCUGGCAGUCAGAGGCGAUGAAGGACGUGCUAAUCUGCGAAAAGCGUCGGUAAGGUGAUAUGAACCGUUAUAACCGGCGAUGUCCGAAUGGGGAAACCCAGUGCAAUUCGUUGCACUAUCGUUAACUGAAUACAUAGGUUAACGAGGCGAACCGGGGGAACUGAAACAUCUAAGUACCCCGAGGAAAAGAAAUCAACCGAGAUUCCCCCAGUAGCGGCGAGCGAACGGGGAGCAGCCCAGAGUCUGAAUCAGCUUGUGUGUUAGUGGAACGGUCUGGAAAGUCCGACGGUACAGGGUGAUAGUCCCGUACACCAAAAUGCACAGGUUGUGAACUCGAAGAGUAGGGCGGGACACGUGGUAUCCUGUCUGAAUAUGGGGGGACCAUCCUCCAAGGCUAAAUACUCCUGACUGACCGAUAGUGAACCAGUACCGUGAGGGAAAGGCGAAAAGAACCCCGGCGAGGGGAGUGAAAAAGAACCUGAAACCGUGUACGUACAAGCAGUGGGAGCACCUUCGGGUGUGACUGCGUACCUUUUGUAUAAUGGGUCAGCGACUUAUAUUCUGUAGCAAGGUUAACCGUAUAGGGGAGCCGCAGGGAAACCGAGUCUUAACUGGGCGUUAAGUUGCAGGGUAUAGACCCGAAACCCGGUGAUCUAGCCAUGGGCAGGUUGAAGGUUGGGUAACACUAACUGGAGGACCGAACCGACUAAUGUUGAAAAAUUAGCGGAUGACUUGUGGCUGGGGGUGAAAGGCCAAUCAAACCGGGAGAUAGCUGGUUCUCCCCGAAAGCUAUUUAGGUAGCGCCUCGUGAACUCAUCUUCGGGGGUAGAGCACUGUUUCGGCUAGGGGGUCAUCCCGACUUACCAACCCGAUGCAAACUACGAAUACCGAAGAAUGUUAUCACGGGAGACACACGGCGGGUGCUAACGUCCGUCGUGAAGAGGGAAACAACCCAGACCGCCAGCUAAGGUCCCAAAGUCAUGGUUAAGUGGGAAACGAUGUGGGAAGGCACAGACAGCCAGGAUGUUGGCUUAGAAGCAGCCAUCAUUUAAAGAAAGCGUAAUAGCUCACUGGUCGAGUCGGCCUGCGCGGAAGAUGUAACGGGGCUAAACCAUGCACCGAAGCUGCGGCAGCGACACUAUGUGUUGUUGGGUAGGGGAGCGUUCUGUAAGCCUGCGAAGGUGUGCUGUGAGGCAUGCUGGAGGUAUCAGAAGUGCGAAUGCUGACAUAAGUAACGAUAAAGCGGGUGAAAAGCCCGCUCGCCGGAAGACCAAGGGUUCCUGUCCAACGUUAAUCGGGGCAGGGUGAGUCGACCCCUAAGGCGAGGCCGAAAGGCGUAGUCGAUGGGAAACAGGUUAAUAUUCCUGUACUUGGUGUUACUGCGAAGGGGGGACGGAGAAGGCUAUGUUAGCCGGGCGACGGUUGUCCCGGUUUAAGCAUGUAGGCUGGUUGUCCAGGCAAAUCCGGAUAAUCAAGGCUGAGGUGUGAUGACGAGGCACUACGGUGCUGAAGUAACAAAUGCCCUGCUUCCAGGAAAAGCCUCUAAGCAUCAGGUAACAUCAAAUCGUACCCCAAACCGACACAGGUGGUCAGGUAGAGAAUACCAAGGCGCUUGAGAGAACUCGGGUGAAGGAACUAGGCAAAAUGGUGCCGUAACUUCGGGAGAAGGCACGCUGGUGUGUAGGUGAAGCCCCUGCGGGUGGAGCUGAGACCAGUCGAAGAUACCAGCUGGCUGCAACUGUUUAUUAAAAACACAGCACUGUGCAAACACGAAAGUGGACGUAUACGGUGUGACGCCUGCCCGGUGCCGGAAGGUUAAUUGAUGGGGUUAUCCGUAAGGAGAAGCUCUUGAUCGAAGCCCCGGUAAACGGCGGCCGUAACUAUAACGGUCCUAAGGUAGCGAAAUUCCUUGUCGGGUAAGUUCCGACCUGCACGAAUGGCGUAAUGAUGGCCAGGCUGUCUCCACCCGAGACUCAGUGAAAUUGAACUCGCUGUGAAGAUGCAGUGUACCCGCGGCAAGACGGAAAGACCCCGUGAACCUUUACUAUAGCUUGACACUGAACAUUGAGCCUUGAUGUGUAGGAUAGGUGGGAGGCUUUGAAGCGUGGACGCCAGUCUGCGUGGAGCCAACCUUGAAAUACCACCCUUUAAUGUUUGAUGUUCUAACGUUGGCCCCUGACCGGGGUUGCGGACAGUGUCUGGUGGGUAGUUUGACUGGGGCGGUCUCCUCCCAAAGCGUAACGGAGGAGCACGAAGGUUAGCUAAUCCUGGUCGGACAUCAGGAGGUUAGUGCAAUGGCAUAAGCUAGCUUGACUGCGAGCGUGACGGCGCGAGCAGGUGCGAAAGCAGGUCAUAGUGAUCCGGUGGUUCUGAAUGGAAGGGCCAUCGCUCAACGGAUAAAAGGUACUCCGGGGAUAACAGGCUGAUACCGCCCAAGAGUUCAUAUCGACGGCGGUGUUUGGCACCUCGAUGUCGGCUCAUCACAUCCUGGGGCUGAAGUAGGUCCCAAGGGUAUGGCUGUUCGCCAUUUAAAGUGGUACGCGAGCUGGGUUUAGAACGUCGUGAGACAGUUCGGUCCCUAUCUGCCGUGGGCGCUGGAGAAUUGAGGGGGGCUGCUCCUAGUACGAGAGGACCGGAGUGGACGCAUCACUGGUGUUCGGGUUGUCAUGCCAAUGGCACUGCCCGGUAGCUAAAUGCGGAAGAGAUAAGUGCUGAAAGCAUCUAAGCACGAAACUUGCCCCGAGAUGAGUUCUCCCUGAGACUUUAAGUCUCCUGAAGGAACGUUAAAGACGAUGACGUUGAUAGGCCGGGUGUGUAAGCGCAGCGAUGCGUUGAGCUAACCGGUACUAAUGAACCGUGAGGCUUAACCUUACAACGCCGAAG
RNAcentral lists this ribosomal RNA (2923 nucleotides) under Klebsiella pneumoniae. RNAcentral describes it as "bacterial LSU rRNA". It matches the Rfam family "Bacterial large subunit ribosomal RNA". Lineage: Bacteria; Pseudomonadati; Pseudomonadota; Gammaproteobacteria; Enterobacterales; Enterobacteriaceae. The record is from RNAcentral.